GUAGUUUAUUUUAGAUAACAAUUCUUAUCGAUACAUCCUAGAUAAUAACGAAAAAAAUAAUUGAAAUAUCUAUCGAAAACAUUUGGAGAAUCAGGAAGUAAGUUUUGUUUGGAUAUAUCGUCACCUACUAAUUUUAGCUGACAUUUGCCCCGAGCACAAGGCCAGAAGAAUCGAGAAUGAAGACCAAAAUUGUUAGGGUGCGUGGGUUGCAAAAUCUUGUAUGCAUACCCACUAAAAGAACUAAGGACUCACCACUUCCAUGCGAAUGGUUUAACAUAAGAGUUUUACAGCUGUCCCGAGUUUCAAAAUAUCUUAGCUAAAAAACAUCAGAAACGAACUUAUAUAUUAAAUU
Molecule: long non-coding RNA, 352 nt
Organism: Ceratina calcarata
Lineage: Eukaryota; Metazoa; Arthropoda; Insecta; Hymenoptera; Apidae
Exons: 2
Source: RefSeq, a predicted model, not a curated record